Gasterosteus aculeatus aculeatus (three-spined stickleback) is the source of this 3221-nucleotide long non-coding RNA. Lineage: Eukaryota; Metazoa; Chordata; Actinopteri; Perciformes; Gasterosteidae. The record is from Ensembl.
CCUCCCCUCCUGAUCCUGAACAUGUUACCAAGGUACCCCUGUUCGUUUUCUUGCACCCUUUCCUCUCCCUCAAUAAACGAAGUUGCAGUUUUACACGCUGAUGUUUGUCAAGCACUCAGUCAUCAGCAUAAGACUUCACUUAUGUUGCCUCUAAGGCAUCUUUUGUAUUCUGAAAGGGAAGUGCUUUCCGCUGGCAGGCCGGUCUUCAAAACAAACAAACUCAACAAUGGAACAACAGAUCUCUCUGUUCAGUUCAGACAUUAUAUUUCUGUUGUGGUGAUCUGUCUGCCUCACUUUCUAAAAUGAAAAGAAGCAACGGAACCCAGACAGGUGCAACACUAUGCCUCUCCAGCUUGUGUGUCUGAUUUUUUUUCUCUCUUUUCCUUCCCGGGAAGUUCUCAGAGAGCAAAAGCACCCGUGUUGGUUAGGAGCUGAUGUUUCUUUGGUUAGUUCCUCUGUAUUUUUUUUUAUUGCCGAUAUCUGCGGCCCCACUCAGCCAGGUUCUUUUUUAUUGCUCAGGAUUGGCCCGGUAUCCGAACACACGGAUGUGUCCAUCCCGUCGCGCGGCGCCGUGUCUGCCUGCAUGUUCAACGUGUCGACUCUAAUUCAAACUCCUCUGUUCUCCUCUCAUCUGUCUGCUCCAGAUGUUGCACUGGGUGUCAAAACGGAUCUGUGAGGGGGGUGGUGGGGGGGAGGAGGGGGGGUGGAAAGCAACACAUUUCUAUGUUUGCUGAAACUGAUAGAUGCACUUUGAAAUUCAAUUCAGGCGUACAGGAGGAGAUGAGUCCAAUUCAGCAUGUGGAAGCCUUGAUGCCACUGCAGAUUUCAUGUCUUGCUUGUUAUCUAAACCGAUUCAUCUGACUCCACUGCCAAGAGAAGAAGAAAAAAUAUCACACUGUUUAUUGGUUAAUGUACUUCUCUGCUUGUCCAAGUAUUUGACAAUAGUGAAUGAAUGGACCUCUGCGCGGUGUAAUUGCCCCCCUCUUUGUCUGGCUAAUGACUGCCUCGUGUCUGUCUGGGCUGUGCAGAUGCCCCGCCACCAGGAGGCGCUGACAAAGAGCGGGACCCCUGCGCGUGUGUUGAUUUAUUUAUCCAUGUCUGGAUUAAAGCCUGUAUACCUGAUAAAGGGGAUGUCAGAGGAGCUUUGACAGCCACAGAGGCGGCAGAGUGUGUGCGAUUUGGUCGCUGCGCCGGCAGGAACAAGGAGUGCCGAUGGCAUCUUUGAAGUCUUGACAGACGAGAGCCUCUGAGCAUCCCCUUAAUCUUGCCUUCCCCUCGGAAAGGCGCGCGAAGCAGGCAGGUUCUGAGCGCGCUCUGCUCCCUGUUUGCCUUAUUCUCUUAAUGACACAAACCAUUCAGCGGCCACGCGUGAUAGCAUUUCAUCUGCCGUAAUGUGUGGUGGCUGCUCACUUCAAACACUUCGGCGCCUCCCCGCGUUAAGCCGGCUGGAGACGGCACGAGCCGGGACACAAGGCUCUUCCCAUUGGCGACGAUGGGAUGCCUGCGUGCAGCUCAUGCUGUUUGAUUGCGCUGAUUGUUUUCGUGAGCGCACCUAAAGCAAAUACAAAGAAUCUGCCGUGUAUGAUUGUCUGGAAACCAGAUCAGUGGAGAGAGGUGUGUUUCACACCUGAACGCUCCGUCUGCCUCGAGUGAUUCGCCGCGCUCAUAAUGACCCUUGAACUGUUCCCAUUACUGUCGCUUCACACGGCACAGGCAAUAUUGCUUCCUCACAUAAAGACACUACAAAGACAAUGCCGGGGGAGUACAGCAGCAGGCUGCGCUGCAUUACGCUGCACUCCACCUUGAGCUUAUCUCCUAUCAGCUCCGAUCUGGCAUCUUUCCAUCAAUUCUCGUCUUCCUGCACAUCACAACCGGGACGAUGACAAAGCAGCCAUGCAGGCGCAGUGGAAUAUGGAUGGUGGGGGGGGGGGCUUUGGUUGUGGACACCAAAGCUGCUGGGCAGAAGAGGGCGCUGGGGUUAAUUACUCCAUUACUGGGUGGCUCAGCCAGGAGCUGUUUAAACAAGCCCCAGUCAGCAGGGGAUUAGGCCUCAUUACUCCAGCUAAAGCUACGCCCACGACCCUUCCCCACCGCCUCUUUCUGCGGGUUUGUCGUGCAUUCCGUGGAAUAUUCACAUUGAGGGUGAAGGGGAGGAGAUGGGAAAAAGAAAAGAGAGAUUAAGACCAAGCAGUUGCAGAAGGACAGGUGCGAGGGAGAAGAGCAAACGACAAGGCUUAACUCCGGCGGAUAGCCUGCAUCUUCACCUGAACUCAGCCAGGGCUACAAUUACCUCCCCCCCCCCCUCACCCCCUACCCAAAUGCCCGAGCGUGGCAAGAUUAGCAUCUGAGGCUCGGGUUACCCUCCCUCCCACCAAACCGAACCCCCGGGCAUCCUUGGCCACCGCCUCCUCCAUCGUCUUCCUCCCGCAGGUGUCUGAUGGCACUCGGUGAUAAUGACGGUGCUCUCGUUUGCAGGACGGGACGUCUGGAAUUAGGUCGCUGCAUGUGCUCCCCGAGCGGGGCAAGAUGGGUCAGUUUACCAGGUCUAUAGGGCAUGAAAUACUGAGGUCUACGGUGACAGUCAUAUCACUCAGGGAUGAAAGGUGUCUUUGUGCAAUAGACAAAGUGGUCUUUCGCUGUGUCUAAAUGUAUGUUAAGGCUUUUACAUUAAAAUUGUUUUGCACAGCAAAACUCCGGUACUUAAUCAGAAGCCUAUGUGUGCUCUUUGCGACCUAAUUUAGUGUACUUAAAAAAGUCUACUGCAAAGCUGGUGGCUCUACAAACACUAUCUGGGGCACUAAGUACACAACACACUAUGCACCUGAAGCCCAAUGAUGGGACAAGGAGGAAAGUCAAACGAUCAUCUAAGUGACUACAGUUCAUCUCGAGAGGAACAUCAAUGUGAAAUCCAUCCAACGAUUUAGCACCACCAACAAAAAACCCUUCUCCUGACAUCAUUAAUGCAAUUUGCUGAAAUAAAUACAUUGAAGACCCAGUGAAACAGAAGUAAGAGCGUCCGUAGCUACAGUGAUGUGAUGUAAUCUGGAGUGAAACCGAAUAUGUUGACAGGGUUUAGUUACAAGGUGGAUUUACAUCAAAUGCUGCACGAGUGGAUUGCUGAAAGGAGGCUCAACAACUACAAAUCCAUACGGACCUGACCGAAGACAAGUGUGAGUGAACCCAUCCAGAACAACCACCACCCAACCCCAGUGGGGAUAAUA